Molecule: long non-coding RNA, 1270 nt
Filed under: Ricinus communis (castor bean)
Lineage: Eukaryota; Viridiplantae; Streptophyta; Magnoliopsida; Malpighiales; Euphorbiaceae
Description: long non-coding RNA (RCOM_LNC003021)
Source: RNAcentral
ACACGUGUGCUACCGAAGUAUAUAUAAGAGGAAAACCAGUGGAGUAGCGCCAUGAAUACAGAGGAAAGAGAGACGUGGAGAGAGAGACAGAAGGAGGGAAAAUAACUACUCUUCUAAUUUCUCCAUUACGGUUUCUCUUUUCUUUUUCUUUUUUCUUUUUUUCGAUUUUCAGGGUUUUAUAGUAUUCUCUCUUUUUCUUUUUUUGAAAGGAAAACCCUAAUUCCCAAUUGGGUUUUCCAAUUCAAAUUGGAAUUAUUAUGAAAGCAAAUUCUUUGUUUUUUCUCCUUCAAAAACUACCCCUUUUGAUUCUUUCUUGUGUCAUAAGUUGCUGAAAACAAUAAUACCAAUUACCCAUGACCCGACCCAUUGAACUCGAACCGCCCACUACUACUGCUACUACUCCAGCCACGUUCGUACGCGCUGCUUACAGAGCCUUAAGGAGUACCAUUAUUGUUACUUCCUUUUUUUCUUUUUUGCAUUCCUUUUAGUUUUCUUUUUUCUAUAAAGAAAAUGACGUUUUUUUGUUAUUGGUUUUUUGUUAUUUUGUUUCUGGGUUUGAAUUGUUUUGUGUAGAUGAAGCAGAGCAUAUUGGAAGGGCUGAUUCUGAUAAGUUUAACUCUGUCAUUAAUGAAGUGGAAAGUUUGCACCAGCAUGGUAACCUUCAUAUUACUUACUAUAUUAUAUUCUGAUAAUUCAUGUUUAAUUGUUGCUUAAAAUAAGGGGGAACAAAAGAGAAAGUCGAGUUCUCUUUGCAAUUCAUGAAGCAGUCUCAUUGUUGUCCGUUUAUUUAUUGUUGAUUCUUUAUUGGGUAUAUAUAAAAUUGGGUGAUGAUACUCUAUGGAGUUGGUGAUUGCUGAUAGUAAUGAAGUUAAUUUUGUGUUCUUGAUGCACAAAGUUACUAGCAUUCUCUAGUCUUUGAUAGGACGCGUACGUUUGAGAAUUAUUUUUCCUUUUCUGGCAAGUCCUAAAAAGAAAAAACAAAUGCAAGAAUUCAAUUGAAUUGAAUUUUGUUUAGUAAAAUCUUACUGUUCGGAAAAGCUAAUAGUUGCUAGAACUGAAUUCUUUAAAGGAAAAUGAAAGCUAGGCAUUCAUGCCCAAAAUUGGCAUGAUUUUGCAAGAAUUUUAAUUCUGAUUGAUUUGCCUAUUUUUAUCAUUGCCGUAUGGACAAAGUGAAUGGAGACCGUUUCUGCUUCAAGUACCAUAUAAUUAUGUAUCUAUUUAUGAUCCAACUGCCUUCACCCUCAUCGUUGUUAUUGUUUUUUAUUUUAUC